CCUUCCGCUAUAUUAAGGGCGGAGACAGCGCGGCUUCCGCUGGGAGCUCGGAACAGAUCCCGGGAUCCGGGAUCCGGGACCCGGGAUCCGGGAUCCGGCACCCGGCACCCGGCACACGGCGCUGGUGCCCCCUCUGCAAGCCCCAACUCGUAGACUGUUCCUCGUCGCCCGCGCCCCAAUUUCGAUUUUCAAACCCAACUCCCACAGGAUUCUGAGACCACGCCCCAUCUCCCACGUCCCAUUUUCAGCGGCAAAUUACUGUAGAAUCUGAACUCUAGAAAGAAACCCGUUUGCCGCCCCCCAUCUUCCCUCUCCACACAGGUGGAGGGCAGGUGAAGGUCUCGCUCGGCUUUCCCCUGCACCUUUCCCACCCUCCCGUCCGUCCCUGGGGGUCCUCUGCCACACCGGCCAUGGCCCAGAAGCCGAAGGUGGACCCUCACGUCGGGCGGCUGGGAUUCCUGCAGGCGCUGGUCACGGAAUUCCAGGAGACCCAGAGCCAAGACGCCAAGGAGCAAGUCCUCGCCAACCUCGCCAACUUCGCUUAUGACCCCAACAACUACGAGUAUCUGCGGCAGCUGCAGGUCCUGGAUUUAUUUCUCGAUUCGCUGUCGGAGGAGAAUGAGACCCUCGUGGAGUUUGCUAUUGGAGGCCUGUGCAACCUGUGCCCAGACAGGGCCAACAAGGAACACAUCCUGCAGGCAGGAGGCAUCCCUCUCAUCAUCAACUGCCUGUCCAGCCCCAACGAGGAGACGGUACUGUCUGCCAUCACCACGCUCAUACACCUGAGCACACUGGGCCCCAGCCGCCCCCCAGAGCUGACUGCCGCACCCGUGGUGCAGUGCAUGCUGCGCUUCUCCCUCUCAGCCAGUGCCAGGCUCCGGAACCUGGCGCAGAUCUUCCUGGAGGACUAUUGCUCCCCUAGCCAGGUGGCCGAGGCCCACAGCCGGCAAGCGCACUCUGCCCUGGGUAUCCCACUGCCUAGGAGCGUGUCCCCACAGCAGCGCUGAUCCAUGGAGACCUUGAGACUAUAGCACUCCUACUGCUGGAGACCACGGGCCUGGUGUGGACACAGGGCACAGGGGGAGGACAUGCUGCCCAAGUGGUGCCUUUUCGGCCAUUGGAAAGGCGAGUUCUUUCAGCAGGACAGGUAUUUACACUGUGAUGAAAUGCCAUUCAGUUAAGGAAGCCAGACUCAGAGACACAUGAAGAAACUGGAGCUGCUUCCAUAGGCCUGCACUCAACCCUAUGUCCAGUGCCACCACUGCCAGGCGGUAGUGUAAGCAGCAGCUACGUGGUGCAGUGGCUCACGCCAGUAAUCUCAGCACUUUGGGAGGCCGAGGCAGGCGGAUCAUGAGGUCAAGAGAUUGAGACCAUCCUGGCCAACAUGGUGAAACCCUGUCUCUACUAAAAUAAAAGAAUUAACCAGGCAUGGUGGCACACGCCUACAGUCCCAACUACUCGGGAGGCUGAGGCAGGAGAAAUGCUUGAACCCGGUAGGCAGAGGUUGCAGUGAGCUGAGAUUGCGCCACUGCACUCCAGCCUGGCGCCUGGUGAUAGAACAAGACUGUAUCUCAAAAAAAAAAAAGCAGCCACAUGCCCAGACCCAGAGGCUUUGCAGGACAGUGUUCUCAGCAACUGGGACUGACGCUUAAGAGAGCUACCUUCAUAACAGAAAAUAGGGGAUUAACCUUAACAGAAGUGUCCGGAGUAGUUCUCAGGGACAGGAAUGAGAUGCCUCACGGUGAAAGGAUCUCACCCUGGGAAGGUGUGGUGCCUCCCUUGAGGGCUGUGGAGGACGGAUACCUCCCCCAGGGGCUCUCCAGGCCGGGCAUUUGGGUGUGGGGAUGCCAACCUGGAUAACCUGUGGCCCAGCAUGAAUCAUCUGCCCAGUCCUGCUUUCUGCCAGGCACCACAUAAGGGACUCCAAGAUGAUGGGGGUCCCUGCCCUUGAGUGACAUGGCCCAGUGACUUCAUGUGGCCAUCAGGCAUCAAGAAAAGGCCAUGGGAGUGAUGACACAUCGGAAUGGAGGCAUAACCCUGGGGAGCUGCAUCUUUCCCCCUCACCCUCCUCCUACGCUGUCAUACUCAGUGAUGGGGAGCCCCUACCCCAGAAGUACAUCUCGUGAGGGCAUCAGGGACGCAGUGAAAGAGUGGUGCUCAAGGGAGACAGGAAGAGACAGCAACAUAAAGGAUGUGGCUCCAUGUGCGCGAUGUGCCCUGGUCAACAGAAGGCUGGAAUGCAGUAGCACAAUCUCGGCUCACCGAAAGCUAUGCCUUCCAGGUUCAAGUGAUUUCUCCUGCCUCAGCCUCCCAAGUAGCUGGGAUUACAGCACAUCAAUAAGAUAACUGAACAAAGACACCUCUAUCUGAAUAGAAGAAAAUGACUCAUUGUAAGCAUCAAAGAAUCAGGACCUGAAGAAAAGGAGCAGACCAUCAACCUGCCUGCAGUUAGGGAAAGACUUUUCUACCUGAAAUUCCUGGACUUUCUCCCUCUUAAAGAUUUCUCAGGACGGAAACUCCAAAGUCAUUCCUGUGGAGGUAAAAGCAAUCUCCCUUAUAUCCAAAGGGAGUCCAUCUUAUUUAAACUGAAUUGGGGUUGACGUUUAAUCCUCCAGAUGUAUCUUAUUACCGUACUCCAGCCAGGCAUGGUGGCUCACACCAAUAAUCCCAGGAUUUUGGAAGGCCAAGGCAGGAAGAUCAACAGGAACCUAGGACCAGCCUGGGAAACCUGGCAAAACCCUGUCUCUACAAAAACUACAAAAAUUGGCUGGCGCAGUCAUGUCCAUAAUCCCAGCACUUGGAAAGGCCAAGGUGAGGAUCACCUGCGGUCAGGAGUUUGAGACCAGCCUGGCCAACAUGGCGAAACACCAUCUCUACUAAAAAUAGAAAAAUUAGCCAGGCGUGGUAGCACACACCUGUAGUCCCAAUCACUCGAGAAGCUGAAGAAGAAUCACUGAAACCCAGGAGGUGGAAGUUGCAGUGACCUAAGAUCGUGCCACUGUACUUCAGAAUGGGGGACAGAGAUCUGGCUCAAUUAAAAAAAAAAAAAAAAGGCUGGGUUCGGUGGCUCACACCUGUAAUCCUAGCACUUUGGGAGACCAAGGCAAGUGGAUCACAAGGUCAGGAGAUCAAGAUUAUCCUGGCUAACAUGGUGAAACCCCAUCUCUACUAAAAUAAAAAAAGUUAGCCAGGCGUGAUGGCACGCGCCUAUAGUCCCAGAUACUCAGGAAGCUGAGGCAGGGGAAUCGCUUGAACCUGAGAGGCAGAGGUUACAGUGAGCUGAGAUCUUGCCACUGCACUCCAGCCUGGUGACAGAGCAAGACUCCAUCUCAAAAAAAAAAGUUUCUUUUCUUGAAUGAAUUGUUUAAAACAACAACAGGUGACCACUGGGAGAGAAAAGAAAGGAAGGAUGUAGGAGUUUAUGACCAGCCUGGCCAACAUGGCAAAAAGUCUGUGUCUACUAAAAAUACAAAAAGAUUUAACAAUCAGCUGAGAGAGGCCAGGUGCAGUGGCUCACUCCAGUAAUCCCAGCACUUAGGGAGGCCGAGGUGGGCAGAUUAUCUAAGGUCAGGAGUUCGAGACCAGCCUGGUUAACAUAGUGAAACCCUAUCUCUACUAGAAAUACAAAAAGUAACCAGGUGUGGUGGCACAUGCCUGUAGACCCAGCUACUCAGAGGCUGAGGAGAAUUGCUUGAACCCAGGAGGUGGAGAUCACACCACUGCACUCCAGCCUGGGCAACAGAGCAAGACUCUGUCUCAAAAAAAAAAAAAAAGUAAAUAAUAAAUUUUAAAAAUGAGGCUGGGCACAGUGGUUCACGAGAUCAAGAGAUUGAGACCAUCCUGGCAAGGUCUAAUCUAAGAGACUAGACCAACAUGGUGAAACCCUAUCUCUAAUAAAAAUACAGGGCCGGGCACGGUGGCUCACACCUAUAAUCCCAGCACUUUGGGAGGCCGAGGCAGGUGGAUCACGAGGUCAAAGAGAUCGAGACCAUCCUGGUCAACAAAGUGAAACCCUGCCUCUACUAGAAAUACAAAAAUUAGCUGGGCAUGGUGGUGCGUGCCUGUAGUUCCAGCUACUCGGGAGGCUGAGGCAGGAGAAUUGCCUGAACCCAGGAGGCGGAGGUUGCAGUGAGCCGAGAUCACACCAUUGCACUCCUGCCUGGGUAACGAGCGAAACUCCGUCUAUUUAAAAAAAAAAAAAAAAAAAGCUCUCAUUAAGUGUAACAAAUACUGACCUGAUUAAAUGUGGGUGUAUGUGUUUGAGUAUAGAUAUAUUUGGGUUUAUUUUUUUGAGGCAAGGUCUCACUCUGUCACCCAGACUGGAGUAUAAUGGUGUGAUCUCUGCUCACUGCAACCUCCACAUCCUGGGCUCAAGCAAUCCUCCCACCUGAGCCUCCUGAGUAGUUGGACUACAGGCAUGUGCCACCAUGCCAGGCUAUUUUAUACUUUUUUAUAGAGAUGGGGUUUCACCAUGCUUCCUAGGCUAGUCUUGAACUCCUGGGCUCAAGCAAUCUGCCUGCCUCAGCCUCCCAAAGUGUUGAGAUUACAGGCGUGAGCCACCACGCCCAGUCUCUAUAUGUAAUUUUAAAGGAUUCUCCGAUUUUUCUCUAUUACAUUUCUAGCAUUGAUCGCAUUACUGGCAGAUUAAGAAUGUGGCCAUGUUUACUAACUGUCCAGUUUCAUUUUCGUUUCCUCUCCCAGGAAACGAAAGGGUAGCAGCACUUGGGGCACAGCCAGGUUUCACUCCCCAGUCUCUUUCCCCAAGACAUGAUUUUGUUUAUUUAUUUAGAGAUGGGGUCUUGCUUUGUCACCCAGGCUGGAGUGCUGUGGUGCCAUCUCAGCUCACUCCGCCCCUCAGGUUCAAGUCUCCUACCUCAGCCUCCAGAGCAGCUGGGAUUACAGGCACCUGUCACCACACCUGGCUAAUUUUUAUAUUUCUAAUAGAGACGGAGUUUCACCAUCUUGGCCAGGCUGGUCUUGAACUGCUGACCACGAGAUCCACCUGCUUUGGCCUCCCAAAGUGCUGGGAUUACAGGUGUGAGCCACUGCGCCCAGCCGACAUGAUUUAAAUCAAAAUUCAGAUCUGUCCUAAAACCACUGACAGAGCCAGAAAUUUGGUCUUCAGAAGUACUCACCAUGAAUAUCAGCUUCUCCCUAGAAAAGAAAAAAAUUCAAAAAUUUACUUCCUACUUUAAUUUUGGAACACAAAAAAAGUCAUAGUUCAUAGCAGCUAACAUUUAUUUGACACCAAAUGUGACAUUUCAUUUUGAUGCAAUUAAGCCCAGGGCCAGUCUGCUACCUCUGUCCAACUUAGAACAAGCAAAUAUUCUGCAUGAGAAAUUGCCCUGGUGCCAGGAACACAUCUAAAGCAAAAAACCUAAACAUUUACUCUGAUGACCCUAUACCAAUGAGCAUUUCAGAGAUCUUGCAUUAGAAUGGAAAACUGGUAAAUCUAUCCUUUCAUUUGUCUCUCUCCUUUCCCCUUAUCUAGUUGUGGAAGGACCCCUAUCGGUUCCAAAGCCCUUCUCCAGUUCUCUUCACACUCAGACAGGUGAUGCCUCAAUGUGCUCUAAGGGAUUUAGUGGGGAGGUCUUUCCAACACACACCAUAGGGCACUUGGUGGCAGUACUCAACUCCAGACACAACUAGUGGUCAUGCCAGCACUAGUCUCCUGGAGUUCCAGGCAAAGCCAUAUUAGCAAAAAACAGUCCCUAAACCCAGAAAUGUUUCUAUAUAUGUGACACACAGGAAGUAAGAAAGAUCCACAAGUUCCAAAAAUCAAUAUAGGAGAUAAAACAAAUCCUAAUGGUAAGAGAGACAGAAACAGACUGAGAUCAUGUUAAUGCACUUCUCUGCUUUUACUCUCUCAAUCUUCCAUUAUCAACACGGCCCAGUCCCUUUCCUAACUACCUCAAUGUAAAAUUCCAGUGGCAGAACUGAAAACUUAGUACAAAUUUCAGAAUCGUAUUGACCUCGAAGACUUUCUGUCCUCAUGCUGUCACACUGACCUUCAGAUCUAAGAAGUCUCCGGAGCUUGCUUCUGAGGAGUUCCUUCUCUGCAGUCCAGAUGACUCUAAGUCUUCCCUGCCACCACUAGACUUGGCACCUAAAAUUCAAAAUAUACUUUCUUCAGAAAUACAACAGAAAAAAUCUAAAACAAAACAGUUCAGCAAUUGACGUUAUGUGUCAAUCUCAUAUUACAAAAUGAGAAAAGUCUGUUUUUUUUUUUUUAAGAUGGGGUUUCACCGUGUUGGUCAGGCUGGUCUUGAACUCUGGACCUCAGGUGAUCCGCCCGCCUUGGCCUCCAAAGUGCUUGGAUUACAGGUGUAAGCCACCACAGCCGGCCAAGAAAACAGUCUUUUUUUUUUUUUUUUUGAGACGGAGUUUCGCUCUUGUUACCCAGGCUGGAGUGCAAUGGCGCAACCUCGGCUACUGCAACCUCCGCCUCCUGGGUUCAGGCAAUUCUCCUGCCUCAGCCUCCUGAGUAGCUAGGAUUACAGGCACGUGCCACCAUGCCCAGCUAAUUUUUUGUAUCUUUAGUAGAGACGGGGUUUCACCAUGUUGACCAGGAUGGUCUCAAUCUCUUGACCUUGUGAUCCACCCACCUCGACCUCCCAAAGUGCUGGGAUUACAGGUGUGAGACACCGCGCCCAGCCAAGAAAACAGUCUUAAGGAAGUUAAGCUAAUUACUUAAAUGUUAACCCAGUCUGACUUCAGUACCAACUCUGAUCCAUCACACAGCCUCCUAGUAUUUCCCAUCUCUUUCCUCGCAUGUUAAAUCUAAACUGAUGUUUUAUUAUUAUUAAGCUAGAUUUUGUUAUUAGUUCAAAUCCAGCUGUAGUUAAUUUCUCUUUUGUUUGUUUUUGACACAGGGUUUCACUCUGUCACCUAGGCUGGGGGGCAGUGGCUCAAUCACAACUCACUGUAACCUCUACCUCCCAGGCUCAAGUGAUCCUCCCACCUCAGCCUCCCAAGUAUUAGAAACUACAUCCACACUGCCCCUACCACCAGCUAAUUUUUGUUUUGUUUUAUAGAGAUGGGGGCACACUUUGAUUCCCAGGCUGCAUCUGUGGCUGUUGAUCCUGGGCCCAUACCUUUGAACAGUGAGCACAGAUAACAAGAAUACCUGCCGACUUGGCCCAAGAAGCCUGAUUUUCCUCAGGUGUCCCAAAGAUAUUAGAGGCCAUUUUGUUCUUCCUCACAGGUUGUUCUGUUGGUUCAUCAAAACCUAAUGAAAAAUUGGAUCCACCACCUGGAGGCCGCAAAACCCUACAAAUAAUGGCAAAACAUCAACUUCAGAUCAUACUGAAACAUUUCUUGGCAUAAAUCUUUUCAGACAACCUUCAUUUCACUCUCCUCACCCAUUCAUUUCCCUCACCCCUACAACAGACAGCUGCUAACAGAAAAAAGGAAUCAACUUCAUCAGCGUGUACAUUCAAUGCUGGAUGUGAAGAUACUAAAUACUGCCUUAUAAUGCUUGUAAUGCAGUAAUGGACAACACGAGGCAGCUGAAACAGGGUGGAACUCAUCACAAUUAACAGCCUGGUUGGUGUCACCUUUUCAGAAAUGGCAAAAGACCUACUGGACCUUACUCUACUGGAGCUGGUGGAAUAUAUUUGCAAAGAAGUUUUAGAAACAUUUCUUGUUAUUAUUCAUUUAAAAAUCACUUCCAGGCACUGGAACACACCUGUAAUCCCAGCACUCUAGGAGGCCAAGGCAGGAUCAUCACUUGAGCCUAGGAGUUCAAGACCAGCCUGGGCAAAAUGGCAAGACCCCGUCUCUAUAAAAAAUAAAAAUAAAAAUAAAAAUUAGCCGAGCGUGGUGGUGCAUGCCUGUGGUCCCAGCUACACCAGAGUCUGAGACAGAAGGAUCGCUUCGGCCCAGGAGGUCAAGACUGCAGUGAGCUGUGCUCACACCACUGAACUCCAGCCUGUGUGACAGAGCAAAACUGUAUCAAAAUGCAAAAAGUAAAUAAAAUUUUUAAAAUCA
Molecule: non-coding RNA, 7989 nt
Organism: Callithrix jacchus (white-tufted-ear marmoset)
Lineage: Eukaryota; Metazoa; Chordata; Mammalia; Primates; Cebidae
Source: RefSeq, a predicted model, not a curated record